GAACUCAUGGUGUAGCGGUU
Molecule: unclassified non-coding RNA, 20 nt
Filed under: Chlamydomonas reinhardtii
Lineage: Eukaryota; Viridiplantae; Chlorophyta; Chlorophyceae; Chlamydomonadales; Chlamydomonadaceae
Description: small RNA Cre_1562
Source: RNAcentral